RNAcentral lists this ribosomal RNA (200 nucleotides) under uncultured bacterium. Its description in RNAcentral is "partial 16S ribosomal RNA". It matches the Rfam family "Bacterial small subunit ribosomal RNA", at positions 8 to 200 of the family's 1533-position model. The record is from RNAcentral.
AGAGUUUGAUCCUGGCUCAGGACGAACGCUGGCGGCGUGCCUAAUACAUGCAAGUCGAGCGGAGUUUGAAAGGUGCUUGCACCUUUCAAACUUAGCGGCGGACGGGUGAGUAACACGUGGGUAACCUGCCUAUGAGCCUGGGAUAACAUUCGGAAACGAAUGCUAAUACCGGAUAAGUAGUCUCCUCUCCUGAGGGGGCU